Molecule: transfer RNA, 73 nt
Filed under: Neotoma lepida (desert woodrat)
Lineage: Eukaryota; Metazoa; Chordata; Mammalia; Rodentia; Cricetidae
Rfam family: tRNA
About the family: Transfer RNA (tRNA) molecules are approximately 80 nucleotides in length. Their secondary structure includes four short double-helical elements and three loops (D, anti-codon, and T loops).
Source: Rfam by way of RNAcentral
GUGGAGAUAGCUCAGUCUGUAAAGCAUUUGCCUUGCAAGCACAAGGGCCUAAGUUCAAUUCCCAGAAUCCACA